CUGAGUACACAGGACCUAACUAUGGGAUGGAGCUGGAUCAUUCUCUUCCUAGUGGCAGCAGCUACAGGUGUCCACUCCCAGGUCCAGCUGCAGCAGUCUGGGGCUGAGAUGGGGAGACCUGGGGCCUCAGUGAAGUUGUCCUGCAAGGCUUCUGGCUUCACCUUCACCAGCUAUGCUAUGAACUGGGUGAAACAGAGGUCUGGACAGGGCCUGGAGUGGAUUGGAUAUAUUGAUCCAGAAUUUGAUAGUAGUGGCUACAAUGAGAAGUUCAAGGACAAGGUCAAACUGACUGCAGACACAUCCUCCAAUACAGCCUACAUGGAGCUCAGCAGCCUGACAUCUGAGGACUCUGCAGUCUAUUACUGUGCAAGAGACACAGUGUUGCAACCACAUCCUGAGUGUGUCAGAAACUCUGGAGGAGCAGGAAGCUGCCCUGCAACUGAGAAGACAGAGACCAUUAAUCUGAAUGUUUACUUAGAAAUAGUCAUUCUUAGUAUCCCUGUGUCUUAUAGGGUCACCUUUCCUAAAGGACAGCUGGCAAUAUGGUGA
Non-coding RNA from Acomys russatus (golden spiny mouse), 549 nucleotides. The record is from the annotation of a RefSeq genome assembly. NCBI's taxonomy places the organism in Eukaryota, Metazoa, Chordata, Mammalia, Rodentia, Muridae.